ACCAAGCAGCAGGGAAUAAUAGUAAAGAGUAUUUAAUAUUUAACCCUAGCACACGAUUUGAACACACUGUUCAAAUAAAAUUCAAACCAAACUAUAAAACUGAAAUGAAAAUGAAUCAAUGAUGUAAAAGGUAAAGUAAAGAUGCCAGACAAUAGCAGAUAGCAAUGCCAGAAUAAGUAAAACACAGAAUGCCAAUAUUGUCAAAAGUAAAAGGUAAAGUAUGAAGUAUAACCAUAGACAGCAGAUUCUCUUGCGAAGUGGGUACACGCAUUACCACAAAAUGAAGAAACAAGAUCACCACAACAGAAAGAUAACAAGAAGUGAAUUGAGAGCUUAUAUGAAGUGCUCAAACCAGCGAAGCUGAGAAUCCCUCCUGCGAGGCCCACAUAGCCAAGAUAACCAGGAUAAUGUAAAUGAAAAGAGCAACAUAAAACAUAAAAUUGAGCAGGUCAAUCAAUGGCGCUAACGUCAGCCAUUGUAUACAAUACAUAAUAUAUUCCUAUCACAUCAAUUAAUGGGAAAAGUACUAAAUCUUCAAAGAAGGGAAGAUCAGCUGGGAAUAAAAGCAAAAGAAGAAAUAGAUGGAACAUUUCAUGCAACCACGACCUCAAAUUCGUUUAAUAAGCAAAGAUGGUGGAGAAACAAUCAAAUCAUCAAAUGAAGGCAAAAACCCUACGCCAGCCAACAGAAGUGGAGGCAAAACGCAACGAUUAAUAGGAGAGGAAAAUAAUCAGCAUAAAACCUGAAGCAAGUCAAAUCAAUUCAAAUAGUUAUAAAUUGCGUAGAUUGUUACUGAAUUAUCAUACCGCUCCGAUAAGUCUGAUAUUAACGUUAAUACUAAUGCAGAUGCAAGUAAGUCAAUGUAGUACAACGUGUGAUGAACAAAGCUAAUCAAAUAAUAAACACCACAUACUACCAUAUAAUUACUG
This is a long non-coding RNA of Osmia bicornis bicornis, 929 nucleotides long. RefSeq lists it as uncharacterized. Lineage: Eukaryota; Metazoa; Arthropoda; Insecta; Hymenoptera; Megachilidae. The transcript is spliced from 4 exons. The record is from RefSeq and is a predicted model, not a curated record.